RNAcentral lists this ribosomal RNA (452 nucleotides) under Salmonella enterica subsp. enterica. RNAcentral describes it as "bacterial SSU rRNA". It matches the Rfam family "Bacterial small subunit ribosomal RNA", at positions 1092 to 1533 of the family's 1533-position model. Lineage: Bacteria; Pseudomonadati; Pseudomonadota; Gammaproteobacteria; Enterobacterales; Enterobacteriaceae. RNAcentral also lists the same sequence under 1 other name. The record is from RNAcentral.
ACGAGCGCAACCCUCGUUCUAUGUUGCCAGCACGUGAUGGUGGGGACUCAUAGGAGACUGCCGGGGUCAACUCGGAGGAAGGUGGGGAUGACGUCAAAUCAUCAUGCCCCUUAUGUCUUGGGCUUCACGCAUGCUACAAUGGCCGGUACAAAGGGCUGCGAUACCGCGAGGUGGAGCGAAUCCCAAAAAACCGGUCUCAGUUCGGAUUGGGGUCUGCAACUCGACCCCAUGAAGUCGGAGUCGCUAGUAAUCGCAGAUCAGCAACGCUGCGGUGAAUACGUUCCCGGGCCUUGUACACACCGCCCGUCAAGUCACGAAAGUCGGUAACACCCGAAGCCGGUGGCCCAACUCUUUGAGAGGGAGCCGUCGAAGGUGGGACUGGCGAUUGGGACUAAGUCGUAACAAGGUAGCCGUACCGGAAGGUGCGGCUGGAUCACCUCCUUUCUAAGGAG